GACACGACUCUCGGCAAUGGAUAUCUCGGCUCUUGCAUCGAUGAAGAGCGCAGCGAAAUGCGAUACGUGGUGCGAAUUGCAGAAUCCCGUGAAC
This 94-nucleotide ribosomal RNA is filed under the name Ornithocephalus inflexus. Its description in RNAcentral is "5.8S ribosomal RNA". It matches the Rfam family "5.8S ribosomal RNA", at positions 1 to 89 of the family's 154-position model. Rfam says of the family: 5.8S ribosomal RNA (5.8S rRNA) is a component of the large subunit of the eukaryotic ribosome. It is transcribed by RNA polymerase I as part of the 45S precursor that also contains 18S and 28S rRNA. Lineage: Eukaryota; Viridiplantae; Streptophyta; Magnoliopsida; Asparagales; Orchidaceae. The record is from RNAcentral. RNAcentral also lists the same sequence under 6 other names.